AUUAAGUGCAAUUCGAGCGACUGAUCAUGAGCUUGCUCCUUUGACUUUAGCGGCGGACGGGUGAGUAACACGUGGAUAACCUACCUAUAAGACUGGGAUAACUUCGGGAAACCGGAACUAAUACCGGAUAAGAUUUUGAACCCCAUGGUUCAAUAGUGAAAGACGGCCUUGCUGUCACUUAUAAAUGGAUCCGCCCCGUAUUAGCUAGUUGGUAAGGUAACGGCUUACCAAGGCAACGAUACGUAACCGACCUGAGAGGGUGAUCGGCCACACUGGAACUGAAACACGGUCCAGACUCCUACGGGAGGCAGCAGUAGGGAAUCUUCCGCAAUGGGCGAAAGCCUGACGGAGCAACGCCCCGUGAGUGAUGAAAGUCUUCUGAUCUCAAAACUCUGUUAUCUGGG
Molecule: ribosomal RNA, 404 nt
Filed under: Staphylococcus pasteuri
Lineage: Bacteria; Bacillati; Bacillota; Bacilli; Caryophanales; Staphylococcaceae
Description: bacterial SSU rRNA
Rfam family: Bacterial small subunit ribosomal RNA
Source: RNAcentral